AGUCUGGACGUCUUUUUGUCAGAUUUAUGUCGCGAAUCUGAGUGACUAAUGAUGUCUUUGCUCCUUUUUCUUUGUAUUUUGGGCAUCAACAAGUCGGAAGGAAAAAUACGAGAGGGUUCCAUCAACAAUUACAAGAAUACUGUUUUCCUGGAGUCAUUUGCAUAUGGAACUGACAAUGUUAACCUCCUGCAAUUCAAGUUUUUCUUCCCUUCUAAUCUUCAUGGCUAUGAGAUAGCAAUGUUUGAUGACUCUGUCAAUCAAUGGCCUUUUGUCA
Long non-coding RNA from Strongylocentrotus purpuratus (purple sea urchin), 274 nucleotides. RefSeq lists it as uncharacterized. The record is from RefSeq and is a predicted model, not a curated record. The transcript is spliced from 3 exons. Lineage: Eukaryota; Metazoa; Echinodermata; Echinoidea; Camarodonta; Strongylocentrotidae.